This 423-nucleotide ribosomal RNA is filed under the name uncultured bacterium. RNAcentral describes it as "bacterial SSU rRNA". It matches the Rfam family "Bacterial small subunit ribosomal RNA", at positions 358 to 773 of the family's 1533-position model. The record is from RNAcentral.
GGAAUAUUGGACAAUGGGCGAAAGCCUGAUCCAGCGACGCUGCGUGUGUGAAGAAGGCCUGCGGGUUGUAAAGCACUUUCGGUGGGAACGAAAUGUGCCGGGCUAAUACCCCGGCAAGCUGACGUUACUCAAUGAAGAAGCACCGGCUAACUCUGUGCCAGCAGCCGCGGUAAUACAGAGGGUGCGAGCGUUAAUCGGAAUUACUGGGCGUAAAGCGCGCGUAGGCGGUUUGGUAAGUCGGUUGUGAAAGCCCCGGGCUUAACCUGGGAAUUGCAGUCGAUACUGCCUGACUAGAGUAUGGUAGAGGGAAGUGGAAUUUCCGGUGUAGCGGUGAAAUGCGUAGAUAUCGGAAGGAACACCAGUGGCGAAGGCGACUUCCUGGGCCAAUACUGACGCUGAGGUGCGAAAGCGUGGGGAGCAAAC